GGGGUUGUGGUUCAGCAGUGGAACGCUUGCCUUGCAUGUAAGAGGUACCGGGUUAGAUCCUCAGCACCA
RNAcentral lists this transfer RNA (69 nucleotides) under Urocitellus parryii (Arctic ground squirrel). RNAcentral's name for it is "Spermophilus parryii (Arctic ground squirrel) tRNA". It matches the Rfam family "tRNA". From Rfam's summary of the family: Transfer RNA (tRNA) molecules are approximately 80 nucleotides in length. Their secondary structure includes four short double-helical elements and three loops (D, anti-codon, and T loops). Further hydrogen bonds mediate the characteristic L-shaped molecular structure. tRNAs have two regions of fundamental functional importance: the anti-codon, which is responsible for specific mRNA codon recognition, and the 3' end, to which the tRNAs corresponding amino acid is attached (by aminoacyl-tRNA synthetases). tRNAs cope with the degeneracy of the genetic code in two manners: having more than one tRNA (with a specific anti-codon) for a particular amino acid; and 'wobble' base-pairing, i.e. permitting non-standard base-pairing at the 3rd anti-codon position. The record is from Rfam by way of RNAcentral. Lineage: Eukaryota; Metazoa; Chordata; Mammalia; Rodentia; Sciuridae. RNAcentral also lists the same sequence under 1 other name.